Molecule: long non-coding RNA, 1437 nt
Filed under: Pogona vitticeps (central bearded dragon)
Lineage: Eukaryota; Metazoa; Chordata; Lepidosauria; Squamata; Agamidae
Description: lncRNA (ENSPVIG00000007915.1)
Source: RNAcentral
UUUCAUUUCCCUUCCUCUUGGCGAGAAGCGGCCCAAGAAGAACCACGAGCCGGAUUUCCAGAUGGACAAACGGGGCCGGCGCUGCCCUUGGCUGGACUGCCGCCCGUUAGCAAGUCGGCCAAGCUUGGAAUCGUUACUUCUUCGGACUACAACCGCCAGCAUCCGCCAGCCAGCAUGGUCCUGGGGGGCGGCGGGGGAGUUCUGAAAGGAGUCACCCAGGAAAGACAAGGCAAGGCAGGAGCACACUGUUCUCCUUCAGACUUUUCACCCGAAUGGGGGGGGGGAGGAGGACCGGGGGAAGCGUGAGAGCCGCCUCCGUUUCUUUAGAUGCCCCUAAACAAUUCAAAGUGCAUAUAUAAUAAAAGAAAUACAAUUAUAUCAGCAGCAAAGGCUAUUGAGAGCUACCACACAUGAAGUCAAUGUAUUGCCUUCAGCAGAGGGUAAUACGGCUCCAAAUAUCUUUUGCUGAGAAACCUGAGCAGAAGAGUAUUAUUGUACCAAGGCCCUGCUUCUGACUUUCCUACAAACAUCUGAUGGGCCUCUCUGGACACGGGGCUUUUCUCCUGCUCUAGUAAUGCCCUUGCUCUGCCCUAAAAUNNNNNNNNNNNNNCCUGUUCCCUCGGCCCCGGCCCCUCUCCCCACCCUCCCGCAGGAUGUUUUGACGGCGCCGGAUGCCCCGGCCUGCUGUUGUUCCUCUGUCCCUCGAUGACAUCUGAUACGGGGCUUAAUGGUGGCAGCGCCAGAUCGCCGGACUGCUUCCUUCCAGCCCACCCCCACCCGAUCCCGCCCCGAUUACUCCAAAGGACGAACCCUUUCCCUUUCCGUGAAGCGAGAAAAACCGACGGCAAUCGCUUCUCCCAAAGACGAGCAGGGCUUGAGGGACGCCCAGAAUGGCGAGCGAUGUCCUCCUUCCCAGGGCAGCCGGUGGCGGGCAGUCAAGCCCGAAAGGCCCAUCCAGGCCAGCAUCCUCCUCACCCAGCAGCCCAACCGGUUGCUCCCAGGGAGUCCACGGAUAGUAUCCAGGCAAAGCUCCGGCACCUCCUUCUCCCAGUAAGUGAUAUUCAGAGGGAUACGGUGCCUAGAAGCACCGCUAUAACCGGAAGGACGAGAAGCCACGGAUAGCUUAACUUCCAUCCCCUCCUGGUCUGAUCCAAGGGCAGGGAUAGGACUCGGACUCGGGUUUGUUUAAUGACUCCGACGCGACUGGCGGCCGGAACCCACUCACGCCUCCCUUUUUCCCCCUUGGUUUUAAUAGGGACAAAGACUUGCGACUUGGUCCCAAAGACUUGGACUCCGACCCAAAGACUUGACACCAUCUUUGUCCAAGAGUAGGCAAAAUAAGGGGCCCAGGGAUCCAAAUGCGGUUAACCAGCAGCUCACAGGUUCCCCCUCCUCCCCUUUAGAAAGCCAAUCACUUGCCAGAGCUACGCAGUUAUA